UGGGGAAUAUUGGACAAUGGGCGGAAGCCUGAUCCAGUAACGCCGCGUGAGGGAUGACGGCCUUCGGGUUGUAAACCUCUUUCAGCACAGACGAAGCGCAAGUGACGGUAUGUGCAGAAGAAGGACCGGCCAACUACGUGCCAGCAGCCGCGGUAAUACGUAGGGUCCGAGCGUUGUCCGGAAUUAUUGGGUUUAAAGGGUGCGUAGGCGGCCUUUUAAGUCAGUGGUGAAAGCCCAUAGCUCAACUAUGGAACUGCCAUUGAUACUGAAAGGCUUGAGUACAGACGAGGUUGGCGGAAUGGAUGGUGUAGCGGUGAAAUGCAUAGAUACCAUCCAGAACUCCGAUUGCGUAGGCAGCUAACUAGGCUGUAACUGACGCUGAGGCACGAAAGCGUGGGGAGCAAACAGGAUUAGAUACCCUGGUAGUCCACGCUGUAAACGAUGAUUACUCGAUGUUGGCGAUACACUGUCAGCGUCUUAGCGAAAGCGUUAAGUAAUCCACCUGGGGAGUACGCCCGCAAGGGUGC
This 527-nucleotide ribosomal RNA is filed under the name uncultured Adhaeribacter sp. RNAcentral describes it as "bacterial SSU rRNA". It matches the Rfam family "Bacterial small subunit ribosomal RNA", at positions 355 to 897 of the family's 1533-position model. The record is from RNAcentral. Lineage: Bacteria; Pseudomonadati; Bacteroidota; Cytophagia; Cytophagales; Hymenobacteraceae.